UGCCAGCCGCCGCGGUAACACGGGGGGCGCAAGCGUUAUUCGGAAUCACUGGGCGUAAAGCGCACGUAGGCGGACUUUUAAGUCAGGGGUGAAAUCCCGGGGCUCAACCCCGGAACUGCCUUUGAUACUGGAAGUCUUGAGUCCGAGAGAGGUGAGUGGAACUCCGAGUGUAGAGGUGAAAUUCGUAGAUAUUAGGAAGAACACCAGUGGCGAAGGCGGCUUACUGGACCGGUACUGACGCUGAGGUACGAAAGCGUGGGGAGCGAACAGGAUUAGAUA
This 279-nucleotide ribosomal RNA is filed under the name uncultured bacterium. RNAcentral describes it as "partial 16S ribosomal RNA". It matches the Rfam family "Bacterial small subunit ribosomal RNA", at positions 506 to 784 of the family's 1533-position model. The record is from RNAcentral.